Molecule: unclassified non-coding RNA, 380 nt
Filed under: uncultured Alphaproteobacteria bacterium
Lineage: Bacteria; Pseudomonadati; Pseudomonadota; Alphaproteobacteria
Description: contains 16S-23S intergenic spacer region
Source: RNAcentral
UCCGGCUUAUCACCGGCAGUUUCUUUAGAGUGCUCAACUAAAUGGUAGCAACUAAAGACGGGGGUUGCGCUCGUUGCGGGACUUAACCCAACAUCUCACGACACGAGCUGACGACAGCCAUGCAGCACCUGUCUCCGGUCCAGCCGAACUGAAGAACUCCGUCUCUGGAGUCCGCGACCGGGAUGUCAAGGGCUGGUAAGGUUCUGCGCGUUGCGUCGAAUUAAACCACAUGCUCCACCGCUUGUGCGGGCCCCCGUCAAUUCCUUUGAGUUUCACCCUUGCGAGCGUACUCCCCAGGCGGAUAACUUAAUGCGUUAGCUGCGCCACCAAAAGCCCAUGGCCCCUGACAGCUAGUUAUCAUCGUUUACGGCGUGGACUAC